AGCUUUGCGCAGUGGCAGAAUCGUAGCCAAUGAGGUUUAUCCGAGGCACGAUUAUUGCUAAUUGAAAACUUUUCCCAAGUCAGACAUCCUUGGUACUGAAAUGACUGCAUUGAUAUGGUUGUG
Rattus norvegicus (Norway rat) is the source of this 123-nucleotide small nuclear RNA. Ensembl annotates it as U4 spliceosomal RNA. The record is from Ensembl. Lineage: Eukaryota; Metazoa; Chordata; Mammalia; Rodentia; Muridae.